GGAGGUAAAGAAUAAUAUAUAGGAAGUGGUAUUUCGGCCAUCGGGAAAGUUUCGGGGUCUCCCGGUAAUGUACCGGGACCACCGGAAGGGUCCCGGGGGUCCACCGGGUGGGGCCACCUAUCCCGGAGGGCCCCAUGGGCUGAAGUGGGAGGGGAACCAGCCCAUAGUGGGCUGGUGCGCCCCCCUAGGCCCACCCCCUGCGCCUAGGGUUGAAACCCUAGGGGUGGGGGCGCCCCACUUGGCUUGGGGGGCACUCCACCCCCCUUGGCCGCCGCCCCCCUGGAGAUUGGAUCUCCAGGGGCCGGCCUCCCCCCCAGGGGGCCUAUAUAAAGGGGGGGAGGGAGGGGGGCUGCUGUACCCAUCUCCAAGGCGCAGCCCCUCCCCUCCCCAACACCUCUCCUCCUCCGUAAGUGCUUAGCGAAGCCCUGUCGGAGUACUGCUUCUCCACCAUCACCACGCCGUCGUGCUGCCGGUGGAGCUGUCUUCCUCAACCUCUCCUUCCUCCUUGCUGGAUCAAGACGGAGGAGACGUCGCUCGUCCCGUACGUGUGUUGAACGCGGAGGUGCUGUCCGUUCAGCACUUGGACAUCGGUGAUCUGAAUCACGUUCGAGUACGACUCCAUCAUCACCUUGCAAGCUUCCGCACGCGAUCUACAAGUGGUAUGUAGAUGCAAUCUCUCUCCCAAUACUCGUUGCUUAGAUGAACUCAUAGAUGGAUCUUGGUGAAACCGUAGGAAAAAUUUUAAUUUUCUGCAACGUUCCCCAACAGUGGUAUCAGAGCUAGGUCUAUGCGUAGUUCUUUAAUGCACGAGUAGAACACAAUUUGUUGUGGGCGUUGAUCUUGUCAUCUUACUUGCCUCUACUAGUCUUUUCUUGCUCAACGGUAUUGUGGGAUGAAGCGGCCCGGACCAACCUUACACGUACGCUUACGUGAGACCGGUUCCACCGAUUAACAUGCACUAGUUGCAUAAGGUGGCUGGCGGGUGUCUGUCUCUCCCACUUUAGUUGCAGCGGAUUCGAUGAACAGGGCCCUUAUGAAGGGUAAAUAGAAGUUGACAAAAUCACGUUGUGGUGAUUCGUAGGUAAGAAAACGUUCUUGCUAGAACCCAAUCGCAGCCACGUAAAAGAUGCAAACAACAAUUAGAGGACGUCUAACUUGUUUUUGCAGCGAUUGAUCAUGUGAUGUGAUAUGGCCAGAAGUUGUGAUGAAUGAUGAAUUGUGAUGUAUGAGAUCAUGUUCUUGUAAUAGGAUUCACGACUUGCAUGUCGAUGAGUAUGACAACCGGGAGGAGCCAUAGGAGUUGUCUUUAUUUUUUGUAUGACCUGCGUGUCAUUGAAGAACGCCAUGUAAACUACUUUACUUUAUUGCUAAACGCGUUAGUCAUAGAAGUAGAAGUAGUCGUUGGCGUGACAACUUCAUGAAGACACGAUGAUGGAGAUCAUGAUGAUGGAGAUCAUGGUGUCAAGCCGGUGACAAGAUGAUCAUGGAGCCCGAAGAUGGAGAUCAAUGGAGCUUUAUGAUAUUGGCCAUAUCAUGUCACAACUAUAUAUAAUUGCAUGUGAUGUUUAUUAUGUUUAUGCAUCUUGUUUACUUAGGACGACGGUAGUAAAUAAGAUGAUCCCUUACAAAAUUUCAAGAAGUGUUCUCCCCUAACUGUGCACCGUUGCUACAGUUCGUCGCUUCUAAGCACCACGUGAUGAUCGGGUGUGAUGGAUUCUUACGUUCACAUACAACGGGUGUAAGACAGUUUUACACAGCGAAAACACUUAGGGUUAACUUGACGAGCCUAGCAUGUGCAGACAUGGCCUCGGAACACGGAGACCGAAAGGUCGAACACGAGUCGUAUGGAAGAUACGAUCAACAUGAAGAUGUUCACCGACGAUGACCAGUCCGUCUCACGUGAUGAUCGGACACGGGCUAGUCGACUCGGAUCGUGUAACACUUAGAUAACUAGAGGGAUGUCUAAUCUAAGUGGGAGUUCAUAAUUUUGAUUAGAACUUUAUUAUCAUGAACUUAGUCUAAAACCUUUUGCAAAUUUGUCUUGUAGAUCAAUGGCCAACGCUAAUGUCAACAUGAACUUCAACGCGUUCCUAGAGAAAACCAAGCUGAAAGAUGAUGGCAGCAACUAUAUGGACCGGGUCCGGAACCUGAGGAUCAUCCUCAUAGCUGCCAAGAAACAAUAUGUCCUAGAAGCACCGUUAGGUGACCCACCCGUUCUCCCAGCACUGCAAGACGAUUUGAACGUUUGGCAGACUCGUGCUGAUGAUUACUCCCUCGUUCAGUGCGGCAUGCUUUACAGCUUAGAACCGGGGCUCCAAAAGCGUUUUGAGCAUCACGGAGCAUAUGAGAUGUUCGAAGAGCUGAAACUAGUUUUCCAAGCUCAUGCCCGGGUCGAGAGAUAUGAUGUCUCCGACAAGUUCUACAGUUGUAAGAUGGAGGAAAACAGUUCUGUCAGUGAGCACAUCCUGAAGAUGUCUGGGUUGCACAACCGUAUGACCCAGCUGAACAUUAACCUCCCAGAUGAGGCGGUCAUUGACAGAAUCCUCCAGUCGCUCCCACCAAGCUACAAGAGCUUUGUGAUGAACUACAACAUGCAGGGGAUGGUGAAGACCAUUCCUGAAGUGUUCUCGAUGCUGAAGUCAGCAGAGGCUGAAAUCAAGAAAGAACAUCAAGUGUUGAUGGUCAAUAAGACCACUAAGUUCAAGAAGGGCAAGGGUAAGAANNNNNNNNNNNNNNNNNNNNNNNNNNNNNNNNNNNNNNNNNNNNNNNNNNNNNNNNNNNNNNNNNNNNNNNNNNNNNNNNNNNNNNNNNNNNNNNNNNNNNNNNNNNNNNNNNNNNNNNNNNNNNNNNNNNNNNNNNNNNNNNNNNNNNNNNNNNNNNNNNNNNNNNNNNNNNNNNNNNNNNNNNNNNNNNNNNNNNNNNNNNNNNNNNNNACUCGUAGUAACUCCUGGGUAUUUGAUACCGGUGCCGUUGCUCAUAUUUGUAACUCACAGCAGGAGCUGCGGAAUAAACGGAGACUGGCGAAGGACGAGGUGACGAUGCGCGUCGGGAAUGGUUCCAGAGUCGAUGUGAUCGCCGUCGGCACGCUGCCUCUACAUUUACCCACGGGAUUAGUUUUGAACCUCAAUAAUUGUUAUUUAGUGCCAAGUUUGAGCAUGAACAUUGUAUCUGGAUCUCGUUUAAUACGAGAUGGCUACUCAUUUAAGUCUGAGAAUAAUGGUUGUUCGAUUUAUAUGAGAGAUAUGUUUUAUGGUCAUGCUCCGAUGGUCAAUGGUUUAUUCUUAAUGAAUCUCGAGCGUAAUAUUACACAUGUUCAUAGUGUGGAUGCCAAAAGAUGUAAAGUUGAUAACGAUAGUCCCACAUACUUGUGGCACUGCCGCCUUGGUCACAUUGGUGUCAAGCGCAUGAAGAAGCUCCAUGCUGAUGGACUUUUAGAGUCUCUUGAUUAUGAAUCGUUUGACACAUGCGAACCAUGCCUCUUAGGCAAAAUGACCAAGACUCCGUUCUCCGGAACAAUGGAGCGAGCAACCAACUUGUUGGAAAUCAUACAUACCGAUGUGUGCGGUCCAAUGAGCGUUGAGGCUCGCGGAGGAUAUCGUUAUGUUCUCACUCUCACUGAUGACUUGAGUAGAUAUGGUUAUGUCUACUUAAUGAAACACAAGUCAGAGACCUUUGAAAAGUUCAAGGAAUUUCAGAGUGAGGUAGAGAAUCAACGUGACCGAAAGAUAAAGUUCUUACGAUCAGAUCGUGGAGGAGAAUACUUAAGUCACGAGUUUGGUACACACUUAAGGAAAUGUGGAAUCGUUUCACAACUCACGCCGCCUGGAACACCUCAGCGAAACGGUGUGUCCGAACGUCGUAAUCGCAGUCUAUUGGAUAUGGUGCGGUCUAUGAUGUCUCUUACCGAUUUACCGCUAUCAUUUUGGGGAUACGCUCUAGAGACAGCUACAUUCACUUUAAAUAAGGCACCGUCUAAAUCCGUUGAGACGACACCGUAUGAAUUAUGGUUUGGGAAGAAACCUAAGCUGUCGUUUCUAAAAGUUUGGGGAUGCGAUGCUUAUGUCAAGAAACUUCAACCUGGAAAGCUCGAACCCAAGUCGGAAAAAUGCGUAUUCAUAGGAUACCCUAAGGAAACUGUCGGGUAUACCUUCUACUUAAGAUCCGAAUGCAAGAUCUUUGUUGCCAAGAACGGAUGCUUUCUGGAAAAAGAGUUUCUCUCGAAAGAAGUAAGUGGGAGGAAAGUAGAACUCGAUGAAGUACUACCUCUCGAACGGGAAAGUGGUGCAGCGCAGAAAACCGUUCCUGUGAUGCCCGCACCAACUGAAGAGGAAAACAAUGAUGAUGAUCAAGGUACUUCAGAUCAAGUUGCUACUGAACUUCGAAGGUCCACAAGGACACGUUCCGCACCAGAGUGGUACGGCAACCCUGUCAUGGAAAUCAUGUUGUUAGACAACAAUGAACCUUCGAACUAUGAAGAAGCAAAGGCGGGCCCAGAUUCCAACAAAUGGCUUGAAGCCAUGAAAUCCGAGAUAGAAUCCAUGUAUGAAAACAAAGUAUGGACUUUGACAGACUUGCCCGAUGAUCGGCGAGCGAUAGAAAACAAAUGGAUUUUUAAGAAGAAGACGGACGCGGAUGGUAAUGUUACCAUCUAUAAAGCUCGACUUGUCGCUAAGGGUUAUUGACAAGUUCAAGGGAUUGACUACGACGAGACAUUCUCUCCCGUAGCGAAGCUUAAGUCCGUUCGAAUCAUGUUAGCAAUUGCCGCAUACUAUGAUUAUGAGAUAUGGCAGAUGGACGUCAAAACGGCAUUCCUUAACGGACAUCUUAAGGAAGAGCUGUAUAUGAUGCAGCCGGAAGGUUUUGUCGAUCCUCAGAACGCUAACAAAGUAUGCAAGCUCCAGCGAUCCAUUUAUGGGCUGGUGCAAGCAUCUCGGAGUUGGAACAUUCGCUUUGAUGAGAUGAUCAAAGCGUUUGGGUUUAUGCAGACUUAUGGAGAAGCCUGCGUUUACAAGAAAGUGAGUGGGAGCUCCGUAGCAUUUCUCAUAUUAUAUGUAGAUGACAUACUCUUGAUGGGAAAUGAUACAAAAUUCCUGGACAGCAUUAAGGCCUACUUGAACAAGUGUUUUUCAAUGAAGGACCUUGGAGAAGCUGCUUAUAUAUUAGGCAUCAAGAUCUAUAGAGAUAGAUCGAGACGCCUCAUAGGUCUUUCACAAAGCACAUACCUUGAUAAGAUUUUGAAGAGGUUCAAAAUGGAUCAAUCCAAGAAAGGGUUCUUGCCUAUGUUACAAGGUGUGAGAUUGAGCUCAGCUCAGUCACCGACCACGGCAAAAGAUAAAGAAGAGAUGAGUGUCAUCCCCUAUGCUUCGGCCAUAGGAUCUAUUAUGUAUGCCAUGCUGUGUACCAGACAGCGGUCAAGAAUAUCCUGAAGUACCUGAAAAGGACAAAGGACAUGUUUCUCGUUUAUGGAGGAGACGAAGAGCUCGUCGUAAAGGGUUACGUCGACGCUAGCUUCGACUCAGAUCUGGAUGACUCUAAGUCACAAACCGGAUACGUGUAUAUGUUGAAUGGUGGAGCAGUAAGCUGGUGCAGCUGCAAGCAGAGCGUCGUGGCGGGAUCUACGUGUGAAGCGGAGUACAUGGCAGCCUCGGAGGCAGCGCAUGAAGCAAUUUGGGUGAAGGAGUUCAUCACCGACCUAGGAGUCAUACCCAAUGCGUCGGGGCCAAUCAAACUCUUCUGUGACAACACUGGAGCUAUUGCCCUUGCCAAGGAGCCCAGGUUUUACAAAAAGACCAGGCACAUCAAGCGUCGUUUCAACUCCAUCCGUGAAAACGUUCAAGAUGGAGACAUAGAGAUUUGCAAAGUGCACACAGAUCUGAAUGUCGCAGAUCCGUUGACUAAACCUCUCUCGCGUGCAAAACAUGAUCAACACCAGAACUCUAUGGGUGUUCGAUUCAUCACAAUGUAACUAGAUUAGUGACUCUAGUGCAAGUGGGAGACUGUUGGAAAUAUGCCCUAGAGGCAAUAAUAAAAGUAUUAUUAUAUUUCAUUGUUCAUGAUAAUUGUCCUUUUGUUCAUGCUAUAACUGUAUUAUCCGGAAAUCGUAAUACACGUGUGAACACAUAGACCACAAUAUGUCCCUAGUGAGCCUCCAGUUGACUAGCUCGUUGUGAUCAACAGAUAUUCAUGGUUUCCUGACUAUGGACAUUGGAUGUCGUUGAUAACGGGAUCACAUCAUUAGGAGAAUGAUGUGAUGGACAAGACCCAAUCUUAAGCAUAGCAUAAAAGAUCGUGUAGUUCGUUUGCUAGAGCUUUGCCAAUGUCAAGUAUCUCUUCCUUCGACCAUGAGAUCGUGUAACUCCCGGAUACCGUAGGAGUGCCUUGGGUGUAUCAAACGUCACAACGUAACUGGGUGACUAUAAAGGUGCAUUACAGGUAUCUCCGAAAGUAUCUAUUGGGUUGACACGGAUCGAGACUGGGAUUUGUCACUCCGUAUGACGGAGAGGUAUCUCUGGGCCCACUCGGUAAUGCAUCAUCAUAAUGAGCUCAAGGUGACCAAGGAGUUGGCCACGGGAUCAUGCAUUACGGUACGAGUAAAAUGACUUGCCGGUAACGAGACUGAACAUGGUAUUGGGAUACCGACGAUCGAGUCUCGGGCAAGUAACGUACCGAUUGACAAAGGGAAUUGCAUACAGGGUUUGAUCGAAUCCUCGACAUCGUGGUUCAACCGAUGAAAUCAUCGAGGAGCAUGUGGGAGCCAACAUGGGUAUCCAGACCCCGCUGUUGGUUAUUGCCCGAGAGUCAUCUCGGUCAUGUCUGCGUGUCUCCCGAACCCGUAGGGUCUACACACUUAAGGUUCGGUGACGCUAGGGUUAGUAGGAAGUCAAGUAUGUGACUACCGAAUGUUGUUCGGAGUCCCGGAUGAGAUCCCGGACGUCACGAGGAGUUUCGGAAUGGUCCGGAGGUAAAGAAUAAUAUAUAGGAAGUGGUAUUUCGGCCAUCGGGAAAGUUUCGGGGUCUCCCGGUAAUGUACCGGGACCACCGGAAGGGUCCCGGGGGUCCACCGGGUGGGGCCACCUAUCCCGGAGGGCCCCAUGGGCUGAAGUGGGAGGGGAACCAGCCCAUAGUGGGCUGGUGCGCCCCCCUAGGCCCACCCCCUGCGCCUAGGGUUGAAACCCUAGGGGUGGGGGGGCGCCCCACUUGGCUUGGGGGGCACUCCACCCCCCUUGGCCGCCGCCCCCCCUGGAGAUUGGAUCUCCAGGGGCCGGCCUCCCCCCCAGGGGGCCUAUAUAAAGGGGGGGAGGGAGGGGGGCUGCUGUACCCAUCUCCAAGGCGCAGCCCCUCCCCUCCCCAACACCUCUCCUCCUCCGUAAGUGCUCAGCGAAGCCCUGUCGGAGUACUGCUUCUCCACCAUCACCACGCCGUCGUGCUGCCGGUGGAGCUGUCUUCCUCAACCUCUCCUUCCUCCUUGAUGGAUCAAGACGGAGGAGACGUCGCUCGUCCCGUACGUGUGUUGAACGCGGAGGUGUUGUCCGUUCAGCACUUGGACAUCGGUGAUCUGAAUCACGUUCGAGUACGACUCCAUCAUCACCUUGCAAGCUUCCGCACGCGAUCUACAAGUGGUAUGUAGAUGCAAUCUCUCUCCCAAUACUCGUUGCUUAGAUGAACUCAUAGAUGGAUCUUGGUGAAACCGUAGGAAAAAUUUUAAUUUUCUGCAACGUUCCCCAAC
RNAcentral lists this long non-coding RNA (7726 nucleotides) under Triticum aestivum (bread wheat). RNAcentral's name for it is "long non-coding RNA (TAES_LNC009755)". Lineage: Eukaryota; Viridiplantae; Streptophyta; Magnoliopsida; Poales; Poaceae. The record is from RNAcentral.